RNAcentral lists this ribosomal RNA (598 nucleotides) under Dothideomycetes sp. RNAcentral's name for it is "partial large subunit ribosomal RNA". It matches the Rfam family "Eukaryotic large subunit ribosomal RNA", at positions 53 to 668 of the family's 3401-position model. The record is from RNAcentral. Lineage: Eukaryota; Fungi; Ascomycota; Dothideomycetes.
CGGGAGAGGAGAACAACAGGGAUGCCUUAGUAACGGCGAGUGAAGCGGCAACAGCUCAGAUUUGAAAUCUGGCCCUUUCAGGGUCCGAGUUGUAAUCUGUAGAGGAUGCCUCGGCGUCGGCCCCGGUCUAAGUUCCUUGGAACAGGACGUCACAGAGGGUGAGAAUCCCGUACGUGACCGGUGGCUCAGCCAUGUGAGGCUCCUUCGACGAGUCGAGUUGUUUGGGAAUGCAGCUCUAAAUGGGAGGUAAAUUUCUUCUAAAGCUAAAUAUUGGCCAGAGACCGAUAGCGCACAAGUAGAGUGAUCGAAAGAUGAAAAGCACUUUGGAAAGAGAGUUAAAAAGCACGUGAAAUUGUUGAAAGGGAAGCGCUUGCAACCAGACUUGCCCGCAGUUGCUCAACCGGUCUCCCGGCCGGUGUACUCUUCUGCGGUCAGGCCAGCAUCAGUUCGGGCGGUCGGAUAAAGGCCCCGGGAAUGUGGCCUCCUUCGGGGGGUGUUAUAGCCCGGGGCGGAAUGCGGCCUGCCUGGACUGAGGUCCGCGCUUCGGCUAGGAUGCUGGCGUAAUGGUUGUAAGCGGCCCGUCUUGAAACACGGACCU